This 3949-nucleotide long non-coding RNA is filed under the name Olea europaea subsp. europaea. The record is from RNAcentral. Lineage: Eukaryota; Viridiplantae; Streptophyta; Magnoliopsida; Lamiales; Oleaceae.
UAACCAAAGAAGGGAAGUGAAAGAAGGAAAUCCCCAAAUCUGUUUUAAGGCACUGUCGAACCCCUAGCCCCAAAUCAAGAAUAUCAAAUACCCGACCACAAUUGAUCGCUCGCUGAGCCAAACCUAAGAGUGAAGAGGUAGCACCCAUUUCGUUUAAUUACAUUGAUGACGGAGCCAUUGGUGUGUAGAUGGAAGGAAAACAUGAAGGUAAAUCCCAAAUUGAUAUUUAUUUAUUUUUGGUAGGUAGAGGUGAUAGAGCUGCUAAAGAUUAUGUAGAUAAAUAUAAUUUUCCAUUAUCUAAAGUUUUUGUAGUUGAUUGCAUGAGUAUUUUCUUAUUCUCCAUUUUACCAAAUAUGUAUUGGUAAUGGCCACGGUCUGUCGAUCCCCUUAUUUUCUGUUCUUUAUGUCCUGAAUCGUAUGUUUUGUUUUAGUUCAUUACAUACCAUUGUCCUGUUCACCUUGGCUACACUCUGUUGUUCCAUUUUGUAAUCUGAUUAUCUGUAUUGUCUUCCACUGUUAUUUUCGAGUUUAGGCAAAAUUCAUUAAAUGAAGUCCUUGCCAAUGUAGUAAAGUGAUAAUAUCGACUAAAGUGUUAAAACAUAUAUGCACUACACAAUGUUGAAUCUUCAUCCUCAUAUAUUAGCUCAAUGUUGGUGUAAAGUCUGAUCAUUUGCAUGUAAUAUUGUUUAAUGUGGGUAACUAUAUCCUAGAUUGUGAAGAAGAUACGGAAUUCAUAGUUUCCGACCACGACUUUGAGUCCAAACAAGAUGACAUUGAAUAUGAUAGACAUGUAACUGAUGCGAUGGAAAUUGGAAUGGACAAUCGCUAAGAUGAAGUUCAGGUCUAACGAGAAGAGGGCAGUGAUAAUGAGUUGAAUGAAUUGGAACUACCAUCAUCAAGGGAACUACUGUCCCAAUGUUUAUCCGAUGAGGAUGGCAGCUGUCAUUUUCCUGAAUUCUCUAUUGAUCAAGAUAUGAAAAAUCCACAAUUGAGGUAGGGUAAAUAUCCGAUUCUGUUGCGGAGUUUCGUGAAGCGAUGCGAACAUACAGUGCAUUUAACGGGUACAACUUAAAGUUUAAGGCAAAUGAGGAAAGAUGAGUUCAAGGAAUUUGGAAAUUGGGCUACAAAUGGAGAAUAUGAGCUUCUAAAUUUGAUGUGUCCGAUAGGUUGCAAGUCAAAUCUUACACUUUGGAGCAUACUUUGUAGUUGAGAUUAGUUUAAUAGACAUUGCAAUUACAUAUUUUUGACACAUUGGUAUAUUGAGCAAUUUAAGACAAACCCGAAUUGGAAGAUCGAGCUUAUUUUGGCAACAGUGAAGAAGGAUCACCAAAUAGACAUUAGCAAGAAACGUAGCAUGAAAAAUGCGGAGAUACGCCAAAGAAGUUUUAGUAGAAAAUUUGCACGAACUGUUUAGGCAAUUGCAGUCUUAUGCAGCCGAGGUACUAAGUAUAAAUGUUGGCUCGACAGUCAUAAUUGCAUUACAGGAGCAUAUAUUUCAGGAGAUCUACACAUGCUUCAAUUGUUGUAAGAUAGGAUUGAGGGAUGGUUGUAGGAAGGUGUUAUGUAUUGAAGGUUGCCACUAAGGGGUGGUUUCACAAGGAUAAUGUUAACUGAAUUGGGGUUGAUGCUAAUGAUUGCAUCUAUCCCAUUGCAACUGCAGUUGUUUAGAAAGAAAAUACAGUUGCUUGGCGAUGGUUCUUAGCCUAUCUUUCAUAUGAUAUUAGGAUAGGAAAUUGGAGAGGUUGGACUCUUAUGACCGACAGGCAGAAGGGUCUACAAAAUGUCAUGGAUGAGUUGUCCCCUGAGGCUGAGCACAGGUUCUGUGUAAGGCAUAUGUAUACAAUUUUUUUCCGUCUAGGUUCAAGAGUAAAAUUCUGAAGAAUUACUUGUUGCGUGCUACAAAGUCAACCACCAUUGCUGACUACUGAAAUUGGAUGAAACAAAUUCGAUAACUUAGUGAGGAGGCAAACAAAUGGCUUAUGGAGAGCUAUUUACAAGAGUGGAGUAGAUCACAUUUCUCAGUUCAAUUGAAGAGUGACAUUUUCCUAAACAAUUUAUGCGAAGAUUUCAACAAGACUCUGUGGAUUGAUAGAGAAAAGAUGAUUUUGUUGAUGCUAACUUCACAACAUUUAACCUUCAUGAAUAGGAUUCGAAGGCAUCGAGACAUGAUGAGGUGCACGAACAAUUGUGUCCAAAGAUCAGGAAAAAAAUUACACAAAAUAGCAGAAAAAUUGCAUGAAUGCACAUUGCACAUUUUUGGUUAUCCAAAAUGACAAGUUGACUGCAGCUAUGGGACGUAUGUCGUCGACCUACAAGAAAGAACAUUUGCAUGUAGAGAAUGGAAGCUUACAUGCAUAUAUUGGAUCAUGCAAUGGCAGUAAUUGGGGAAUACAAAAAUGAUCCAAAAGAAUUCAUUGACAAUUGUUACACGAUUGAUAUGUAUAUAAGGUGCUACAAUAGUACCAUGAAUCCAAUUAAUGGUAACGGUAUGCGGUUAUAGGCAUGGUUGCAUAUGCUUGAUAUCAUUCUAUCAUCGUCGAUUGUGCCACGAACGGGACAGAGACGGAUAAAUUGGAGAAAAGGAACAGAUGAAGAUGUGAUCGUGCAUUCACAAGAGAUAACCUUAUUCGGAGAAAGGGACGAUUGAGAGUGACAUGCUCCUUAUGCGAAGAGCAGGGUCACAACAAGCAAUACCACUCUAGGCCAGAUACACCUGAUUUUGUGAGUUUGAUUUUACUUUUUAUAAAGUAUAAUUGUCUUCACAAUUUUACUAAAAUUUGAUUGUCCUGCAAAAUGCGAUGAAGCUGAAAUAAAUGUAUUCUGAUGGUUUAUUUUUUGUAUGGUAGGAUUUAUUUGAAGAACAUCUAGAAUCAGUUAGCACACACUGUGACACACACAUUUUGACAUAGCUGUCGACUAAUGGGUUAGUAAACUUCUCUUUUUAUUAUUUUAAGUCGUGCUCCUGAUAUUUGUUGCAUAAUGUUAGCUAUCUAAUUGUGUAAUGUACGCAGUAUAUAGAGCAGACUAGUGGCAUAUAGGAGAUUACGAGCAUCGACAAAGCAUAAUCCCACAAAAGAACAAACUCACCAUUUCAUUCCAACCCCCAUUGUAAUACUUGAAGCUUGGUCAUAAGGUCUCAAAUUUGGUCCAAUAGCAACGAUAUGUUCUCAGUCAAUUCUUGUUGAUGUUCCAACCGAUGUUGUAAACUUUGAUGAGUCGUGGACGACUUGCAUGAAUCUGCCAAUAUGAGAUCGAGAAUGGCUAAAAAAUGACAAUGCGCAAAGCAGUCUACAUAAUCAAUGACACAACCCUUAGUGUGCACCCCAUAGCCACAAUAAAUUAUGCAAAUCUAAUUUCAGCUGUUUUUAGUCUUUGAAAAAAUUAUACAGAUCUAUUUUUUUAGGAAAUUAUGUAGAUCUGGUUUUUUGUUGUGGGUUGACACUGAAAUUAUGCCGAUCCAAUUUUUUUGAGGAAUCUUUCAUGUUUUCCAUUUUUAUCAGUAUUUUUGGAUGUUAUAUUUGUGUCUACAUAUUAAAUUUUUAUGAUCAAUGAUGCUAGGGUUAUAUUUGUGUCUACAAAUCAGAUUUUUAUGAUCAAUGAUGUGCGGGUUAUAUUUGUGUCUAUAUAUCAAAUUUUUACGAUCAAUGAUGUGGGGGUUAUAUUUAUAUCUGCUUAUUACUGUCAUGGUUAUUUUGUGUGACAUCAGGAGUUUUUAUUUUUAUUUUUUAUUGUUUUUGUAUCAUAUGCAUGGGGAUUUGACGUAUGGCUAGAUUUAAUGGUGCCAACUUUCGCAUUCGCACCAUUAAUGUUGGAACAUGUUAUGAAUCUUUAGAAGCAUUGCUCCAUAAGACAUGUUUAUGAGCAUAUGAAGUUUGUCAUGAAUUAGCAAAAGUAGCUUUUGGGCCAUCUUGAACAAUUCGAGCAUGGCUUGCAAUUACAUAAAUUACAG